AAUAUAUGUAAAAUUUCUAUUUCCUAUCCGUUUAAUCUUUAAAGCAUUUGCUAAAUACUAUCUGCAUUUUCAACCAUUUGCAAUGGAUUGAAUUCCUCUUUAGAGGGUUUCAUAUCUGUCUGGAACUGUACUAAUAAGCCCUAGAUUUUAUUAAGACUCAUGCAAGUUAGGUAGAUAGCUUGGUAUAGCAUGAUGUACAACUGUCAUAUUAAUUUGUAAUAUUGGAUUAAAGUAGAAAUCUCCUUUAUUUUUAUUCACUUAUAUUCUAUUCUACAGGGAACAAGAUAAAAAUCUGUUAUAACUUAAAGAAUUUGCUGUUUUAACAUGUGAAGGAGCUAAUGUUAAUAAAGUUAAGCAU
RNAcentral lists this unclassified non-coding RNA (358 nucleotides) under Hevea brasiliensis (rubber tree). The record is from RNAcentral. Lineage: Eukaryota; Viridiplantae; Streptophyta; Magnoliopsida; Malpighiales; Euphorbiaceae.